This 316-nucleotide transfer-messenger RNA is filed under the name Alphaproteobacteria bacterium. It matches the Rfam family "Alphaproteobacteria transfer-messenger RNA". Rfam says of the family: Bacterial tmRNA, also known as 10Sa RNA or SsrA, is named for its dual tRNA and mRNA-like properties. Its role is to liberate the mRNA from a stalled ribosome. The record is from RNAcentral. Lineage: Bacteria; Pseudomonadati; Pseudomonadota; Alphaproteobacteria.
CGGCUUCAAAUCUAAACCGUCGGAGUCUAUAUUAUACCCGUUCGGGUUCGCCCGGACUAUGGCGAUAAACGGAAGCGUAAUAAGCGGACUGGACCCGGGGGCGGUACCCGGCGGCUCCACCAAAUGCUCAUCGCGGUGAGCAUCUGUGGGGCCGAAACAGGAUCGACAGACGUGUAAAGGCUGACCUUUCGCCCGGUAUGGUAUCCGCCGUUAUCGGGCUAAUCGUACAGGUGCCAACGAUAACGAAAUGGCCCUCGCUGCCUAAUUAGGCAAGCGCGGUUUCGGGGAGGGCACCGGGCAACAGAAGCCCUCCCCA